This 793-nucleotide ribosomal RNA is filed under the name uncultured archaeon. RNAcentral's name for it is "bacterial SSU rRNA". It matches the Rfam family "Archaeal small subunit ribosomal RNA", at positions 85 to 879 of the family's 1478-position model. The record is from RNAcentral.
ACUGCUCAGUAACACGUGGACAACCUGCCCUUAGGUUGGGUAUAAACCCGGGAAACUGGGUAUAAUACCCGAUAGGUCUCGAUUGCUGGAAUGCAUCGAGAUUUAAAGCUCCGGCGCCUAAGGAUGGGUCUGCGGCCUAUCAGGUAGUAUCCCGGUGUAGCGUACCUACUAGCCUACGACGGGUACGGGUUGUGAGAGCAAGAGCCCGGAGAUGGAUUCUGAGACACGAAUCCAGGCCCUACGGGGUGCAGCAGGCGCGAAAACUUUACAAUGCUGGCAACAGCGAUAAGGGAACCUCGAGUGCCAGGUUACAAAUCUGGCUGUCGAGAUGCCUAAAAAGCAUUUCAUAGCAAGGGCCGGGCAAGACCGGUGCCAGCCGCCGCGGUAACACCGGCGGCUCGAGUGGUAACCGUUAUUAUUGGGUCUAAAGGGUCUGUAGCCGGCCGGAUAAGUCUCUUGAGAAAUCUGGCAGCUUAACUGUCAGGCUUUCAGGAGAUACUGUCUGGCUCGAGGCCGGGAGAGGUGAGAGGUACUUCAGGGGUAGGGGUGAAAUCUUGUAAUCCUUGAAGGACCACCAGUGGCGAAGGCGUCUCACCAGAACGGACCUGACGGCAAGGGACGAAAGCUAGGGGCACGAACCGGAUUAGAUACCCGGGUAGUCCUAGCCGUAAACGAUACUCGCUAGGUGUCGGCCACGGUGCGACCGUUGUCGGUGCCGUAGGGAAGCCGUGAAGCGAGCCUCCUGGGAAGUACGGCCGCUAGGCUGAACUUAAAGGAAUUGGCGGGGGAGCAC